GCCCUUGUAGCUCAGCUGGAUAGAGCGACUGCCUUCUAAGCAGUAGGUCGCAGGUUCAAGUCCUGCCAAGGGCG
RNAcentral lists this transfer RNA (74 nucleotides) under Candidatus Pacearchaeota archaeon. RNAcentral's name for it is "tRNA-Arg". It matches the Rfam family "tRNA". Rfam says of the family: Transfer RNA (tRNA) molecules are approximately 80 nucleotides in length. Their secondary structure includes four short double-helical elements and three loops (D, anti-codon, and T loops). Lineage: Archaea; Nanobdellati. The record is from RNAcentral.